UCUUGUUGCGGCAAAAAUAUCACGAAUACUUUUGGAGGAAGACAGCACACAUUGACAGGAAUACGGCAAAGUCACGCACACUUUCAUUUAUUUGGAGAAGUCAAUUAAAGAAGGGUCAAAAUCUCACUGUAGGUGGAUUAAUCCGGGUUUUUUUUAAAUGGAACAUGUUAUGGGGGGACCAUAAUACUUAUAUAAACAAACUCCUGGUGACUCCUUUUAUUAUCACAUGGUUACAUUACAUUUGACCAAAAGCCAAUGCUUCUCCACACUUCGUGAUCUCCGCUUUAUUGCCGACGAAACUGAUUUUCAUACCGACUCUUGCUACCCGAUUCACCGAAAACAAAUUGCAGCUGAGUCCAGCCAAUACUUGAAAGCAUCCUGGAAAAUGACGGUUUCUAAAUUCCGUCAUUUUUCUUUUCAUACGGCCAGGCCAACUACGCAGUAUGUACCGCAGAGAUGAUUUCUAGAUACUGAGCGACCUCAGAAUUUAUAAACCCUUAAAGUCGAUCCAUACCAUGAAACCGAGGGGAUAGGAAGAAAGCGUGGACCUCCCGUACCAAACGCUUCCAGUUAGUAUAAAUAGUAAUCAAAUAUUAUAUUAAUAAUUUUUUCGUUGGGAGCGAAGCUAUUUAAAAGUCAUGAAAUGCUCCAUUCGGCAAGUGAUGGUUGACGUCGUGUUCAAAAUAACUACAUUCACUAUAAAUAAGAAAAGAAGAAAAUCAUCAUUAGUAGGCGGUAACGUCAGCUUCUUUCCUCGGUAACAGUGUGAUGACAAU
Armigeres subalbatus is the source of this 776-nucleotide long non-coding RNA. RefSeq lists it as uncharacterized. The transcript is spliced from 3 exons. Lineage: Eukaryota; Metazoa; Arthropoda; Insecta; Diptera; Culicidae. The record is from RefSeq and is a predicted model, not a curated record.